UAAUCUUUAAUAUAGUAUAUUUAUAGGAAUGCAUAACUUGAGAUGUACAUUUUGAAGCUUCAUCCAUAACUUAGAGCAUUUACUGUAAUGAUAAUAACAAGACAGCAAGUCAUCACUUUACAACAUUACACAUGAGUGAUUUUGACUUACAAAUAAAAUAUUUACAACCUACCUUUACAAAACAACAUUGUGUGCAUACAAAAUGAACAACUGCAGAAAAAUUUAAAAAUAAUGAGACAACCAAAAACCCAGAAGAUACACUUAAGGCAGACCAGCAAGACACUGAAAUAAUUAAGGCUGUGGAAUUCUUCUGCACCUUGAAAAUAUAGAGCUAUUUAUCAAUACUGUGGAGUGAUUUUAAAUCAAUUGUUACAAGCCUGAUGGAAGUAUGUACUUAUAUGUAUAUGUGUAAUGGUCCCUAUGGGGAAACCUGUCCACUUAUGGAUAAGGCCCUUUAUCUGAAUGGCCAGAGAAGCCCACCCCCAAACUCUCAAACGAUCUGGUGGGGAGGAAUCACUCAAAACCAAGAGGUGCCAAUAAAAUUUGCAAACCAACUGUUAAAUAUUCAAAUAUAAAGAUUCUUCUGACUCCAGGCAAACAAUAACCUAAAUGAUGGUCCCAUUAUGUUUCAAGCUUUGUUCAUUUGGCUUUGUAGCUUCAAAAGACAGCAAAUAAAUCCCCAGUGAGUAGACUCUAACUCUACCCAUCAGCCCUAAUGGUUUUGAAUGGCCCUAAAUGGUUUUCUACUAGAAAACUGAUCCACCUGGGCUGUCUUCAAAUGGAUAGAUUUCUGCAUAUGAGCAAUA
RNAcentral lists this long non-coding RNA (806 nucleotides) under Bos taurus (domestic cattle). RNAcentral describes it as "long non-coding RNA NONBTAT000647". Lineage: Eukaryota; Metazoa; Chordata; Mammalia; Artiodactyla; Bovidae. The record is from RNAcentral.